Molecule: ribosomal RNA, 700 nt
Filed under: bacterium enrichment culture clone SYF25
Lineage: Bacteria
Description: bacterial SSU rRNA
Rfam family: Bacterial small subunit ribosomal RNA
Source: RNAcentral
GUACACUAGUUGUUGUGAGGCUCGACCUUGCAGUAAUGCGGUUAACACAUUAAGUGUACCGCCUGGGGAGUACGGUCGCAAGAUUAAAACUCAAAGGAAUAGACGGGGACCCGCACAAGCGGUGGAGCAUGUGGUUUAAUUCGACGAUACACGAAGAACCUUACCUGGACUUGACAUAGUAAGAAUGAUUUAGAGAUAGAUUAGUGUCUGCUUGCAGAAACUUGCAUACAGGUGCUGCACGGCUGUCGUCAGCUCGUGUCGUGAGAUGUUGGGUUAAGUCCCGCAACGAGCGCAACCCUCGUCCUUAGUUGCUAACAGUUCGGCUGAGAACUCUAAGGAGACUGCCUACGCAAGUAGGAGGAAGGUGAGGAUGACGUCAAGUCAUCAUGGCCCUUACGUCCAGGGCUACACACGUGCUACAAUGGGGUAUACAAAGAGCAGCAAUACGGUGACGUGGAGCAAAUCUCAAAAAUGCCUCCCAGUUCGGAUUGUAGUCUGCAACUCGACUACAUGAAGUUGGAAUCGCUAGUAAUCGUAGAUCAGCUAUGCUACGGUGAAUACGUUCCCGGGUCUUGUACUCACCGCCCGUCACACCAUGGGAGUUGAACUCAUUCGAAGCGGGGAUGCUAAAGUAGCUACCUUCCACAGUGGAUUCAGCGACUGGGGUGAAGUCGUAACAAGGUAACCAAUCUCUAGAGGA